This 253-nucleotide ribosomal RNA is filed under the name uncultured bacterium. Its description in RNAcentral is "partial 16S ribosomal RNA". It matches the Rfam family "Bacterial small subunit ribosomal RNA", at positions 524 to 776 of the family's 1533-position model. The record is from RNAcentral.
UACGUAGGGGGCUAGCGUUGUCCGGAUUUAUUGGGCGUAAAGAGCGCGUAGGCGGCCGAGUAAGUCCGACGUGAAAUCUGGAGGCUCAACCUCCAGCGGUCGUUGGAAACUACUCGGCUAGAGACCGGAAGAGGAGAGUGGAAUUCCCGGUGUAGUGGUGAAAUGCGUAGAGAUCGGGAGGAACACCAGAGGCGAAAGCGGCAUCCUGGGCCGGGCCUGACGCUGAGGCGUGAAAGCGUGGGGAGCGAACCGG